RNAcentral lists this Y RNA (112 nucleotides) under Ursus maritimus (polar bear). It matches the Rfam family "Y RNA". From Rfam's summary of the family: Y RNAs are components of the Ro ribonucleoprotein particle (Ro RNP), in association with Ro60 and La proteins. Lineage: Eukaryota; Metazoa; Chordata; Mammalia; Carnivora; Ursidae. RNAcentral also lists the same sequence under 1 other name. The record is from Rfam by way of RNAcentral.
GUCUGGUCCAAAGGUAGUGAGUUACCUCUAUUGAUCGUUCAUAGUUAGUUACAGCUCGAACGCUUUGUUCUACUCUUUCCCCCUUCUCGCAACUGCACUUGACUAGUCUAAA